GCUAAUACCGGAUAAUAUUUUGAACCGCAUGGUUCAAAAGUGAAAGACGGUCUUGCUGUCACUUAUAGAUGGAUCCGCGCUGCAUUAGCUAGUUGGUAAGGUAACGGCUUACCAAGGCAACGAUGCAUAGCCGACCUGAGAGGGUGAUCGGCCACACUGGAACUGAGACACGGUCCAGACUCCUACGGGAGGCAGCAGUAGGGAAUCUUCCGCAAUGGGCGAAAGCCUGACGGAGCAACGCCGCGUGAGUGAUGAAGGUCUUCGGAUCGUAAAACUCUGUUAUUAGGGAAGAACAUAUGUGUAAGUAACUGUGCACAUCUUGACGGUACCUAAUCAGAAAGCCACGGCUAACUACGUGCCAGCAGCCGCGGUAAUACGUAGGUGGCAAGCGUUAUCCGGAAUUAUUGGGCGUAAAGCGCGCGUAGGCGGUUUUUUAAGUCUGAUGUGAAAGCCCACGGCUCAACCGUGGAGGGUCAUUGGAAACUGGAAAACUUGAGUGCAGAAGAGGAAAGUGGAAUUCCAUGUGUAGCGGUGAAAUGCGCAGAGAUAUGGAGGAACACCAGUGGCGAAGGCGACUUUCUGG
RNAcentral lists this ribosomal RNA (583 nucleotides) under Staphylococcus aureus. Its description in RNAcentral is "bacterial SSU rRNA". It matches the Rfam family "Bacterial small subunit ribosomal RNA", at positions 162 to 732 of the family's 1533-position model. Lineage: Bacteria; Bacillati; Bacillota; Bacilli; Caryophanales; Staphylococcaceae. The record is from RNAcentral.